RNAcentral lists this ribosomal RNA (1398 nucleotides) under Vibrio alfacsensis. Its description in RNAcentral is "bacterial SSU rRNA". It matches the Rfam family "Bacterial small subunit ribosomal RNA", at positions 61 to 1437 of the family's 1533-position model. The record is from RNAcentral. Lineage: Bacteria; Pseudomonadati; Pseudomonadota; Gammaproteobacteria; Vibrionales; Vibrionaceae.
GUCGAGCGGCAGCGACAACAUUGAAUCUUCGGAGGAUUUGUUGGGCGGCGAGCGGCGGACGGGUGAGUAAUGCCUAGGAAAUUGCCCUGAUGUGGGGGAUAACCAUUGGAAACGAUGGCUAAUACCGCAUGAUGCCUACGGGCCAAAGAGGGGGACCUUCGGGCCUCUCGCGUCAGGAUAUGCCUAGGUGGGAUUAGCUAGUUGGUGAGGUAAGGGCUCACCAAGGCGACGAUCCCUAGCUGGUCUGAGAGGAUGAUCAGCCACACUGGAACUGAGACACGGUCCAGACUCCUACGGGAGGCAGCAGUGGGGAAUAUUGCACAAUGGGCGCAAGCCUGAUGCAGCCAUGCCGCGUGUGUGAAGAAGGCCUUCGGGUUGUAAAGCACUUUCAGUAGGGAGGAAGGUUCAUGCGUUAAUAGCGUAUGGAUUUGACGUUACCUACAGAAGAAGCACCGGCUAACUCCGUGCCAGCAGCCGCGGUAAUACGGAGGGUGCGAGCGUUAAUCGGAAUUACUGGGCGUAAAGCGCAUGCAGGUGGUUUGUUAAGUCAGAUGUGAAAGCCCGGGGCUCAACCUCGGAAUUGCAUUUGAAACUGGCAGACUAGAGUACUGUAGAGGGGGGUAGAAUUUCAGGUGUAGCGGUGAAAUGCGUAGAGAUCUGAAGGAAUACCGGUGGCGAAGGCGGCCCCCUGGACAGAUACUGACACUCAGAUGCGAAAGCGUGGGGGAGCAAACAGGAUUAGAUACCCUGGUAGUCCACGCCGUAAACGAUGUCUACUUGGAGGUUGUGGCCUUGAGCCGUGGCUUUCGGAGCUAACGCGUUAAGUAGACCGCCUGGGGAGUACGGUCGCAAGAUUAAAACUCAAAUGAAUUGACGGGGGCCCGCACAAGCGGUGGAGCAUGUGGUUUAAUUCGAUGCAACGCGAAGAACCUUACCUACUCUUGACAUCCAGAGAAGCCAGCAGAGAUGCAGGUGUGCCUUCGGGAACUCUGAGACAGGUGCUGCAUGGCUGUCGUCAGCUCGUGUUGUGAAAUGUUGGGUUAAGUCCCGCAACGAGCGCAACCCUUAUCCUUGUUUGCCAGCGAGUAAUGUCGGGAACUCCAGGGAGACUGCCGGUGAUAAACCGGAGGAAGGUGGGGACGACGUCAAGUCAUCAUGGCCCUUACGAGUAGGGCUACACACGUGCUACAAUGGCGCAUACAGAGGGCAGCCAACUUGCGAAAGUGAGCGAAUCCCAAAAAGUGCGUCGUAGUCCGGAUUGGAGUCUGCAACUCGACUCCAUGAAGUCGGAAUCGCUAGUAAUCGUGGAUCAGAAUGCCACGGUGAAUACGUUCCCGGGCCUUGUACACACCGCCCGUCACACCAUGGGAGUGGGCUGCAAAAGAAGUAGGUAGUUUA